This 106-nucleotide small RNA is filed under the name Marmota monax (woodchuck). Lineage: Eukaryota; Metazoa; Chordata; Mammalia; Rodentia; Sciuridae. The record is from RNAcentral.
GCUGGGGUGGUAGUGUAUGCCUGUAAUCCCAGCUACUUGGGAGGCUGAGUCAGGAGGAUUCCAAGUUGAACGCCAGCCUAGGUAACUUGGACAGCUCCCGUCUCAA